Molecule: long non-coding RNA, 394 nt
Filed under: Homo sapiens (human)
Lineage: Eukaryota; Metazoa; Chordata; Mammalia; Primates; Hominidae
Description: HSALNT0336590
Source: RNAcentral
ACUUGAAUCAAGCUACUCCCAGCUUCUGCACACAUCUGGUCCAACACUACUUUGGGAUAUGUUUUGCUAAGGUUGCUGUUCUGCCUGGAAGGCCCUCAUUCCUCAGCUGCAUGACCCGAGGUUUCCUUCCUCUAAGACCUUGCUAGCGGCUCCUAGAUGCCUUCCAAACCAAAUUCUCUUCUAUGAGAUCAGCUCUUAGCUUUGUAUUCCCUGGCACUUAUGGAGUAUGUUAUGGAGGUAUGUUAUUUUGGCCUUGCUUAUGCUGUCUAUUUGUUGUCUGUGUGUUACUCUUGUCUUCCUUGGACAGUCAAAGACCUUGUCUCCAGUUUUUUCGUAUUCUUCAGUGUAAUUAGUGUAAUGCUUUGAAGAUAAGAAAAGAAUAUAAAGAAAUGCC